CAACCCAUCCUCCUCCCCCGAUCCAAAUCCACACCUCCCUCCAACUUCUACCGGCGCCGCCGCCAGAAAACCACCCAGUGCGCCGCCCCGCCGCUAUCCACCUUACCAGGGCCUUCCCCAACCCUCUCCUUCCUCCUGACGGGCCAUGCGUUCCCCUCCAUCUUCCUGCGCUGGACCUUCCUCGACCACGCCCACGUUCAACCGCCUCCACACCCCGGGAACGAACUCCACCGGCUCCAAGCGUCUCGCGCGGCUGCCGGCGUGGAUCCGGGCACGCCGACCCCAGGCACCUCCCAUGGCUGCCGAUGUAGAUCCGCCCUAGGAGCCAUGCGCGACUGCCGGCACGGAUCCGGCAGCGCCGCUCCCAGGCACCCUACACUGCUGCCGGCGCGGGUCUGCCCCCGCCGCCCCGCCAUGGACAGAUGUCUCAACCCCUCGUGCAGAUUUUGCCAUGCGUUGCAUCUCGGCUGUGUUCUCCUCCUUGCCGAGUUGGUGGCCAUGCACGGCAGACUCCGGCGACCACAUACCCGCCACCGCGCUUCGGCCACUUCCAGCGUUGCCGUCGGCCAUGCCCCUGGUCCUCCUCUACCCCCCUGAACCUCUGCCAUCCCCUUCACCAGUGCCCACUCUGGCCGCCCACCGCUCCCCUUCAACCGAAGCAGUUCUUCCGAGCGACCCCCACAGCUCUCUCCUCCCCCAUAUGCAGAUCACUGGUAACACACCCCCUUCCAUGCCGCAUUUUAUUUGGGCAAUGUCAGUACGCAUCGCCUGUUGUUGCAGUCCAUCCCACGGGCACCUUCAGUACGCAUCGCCCCCACCUUGGUUAAAGCUCUGGCUCCCCUGGAUCAAACUGCCACCGGUGAGCUUUUUUUCAGAACCAGUGCGGCAUCGUGCGGUACCAUGGCGUCCUUUGUGCAGUGCGGAUGGGCGAGGCGUGCAUUUUACUUGGAGUGGGCAGAAGGUUCUUUAGCUGCUUGAUAAGUUAGCCGGAGGAAAACAGGGUGUUACCCCUGAUACACUUCGGCUGGGAGACCGUUGAAGUUGGUGAAGUCAUAUUUGUGUGUGUCAUGUGUAUAUAAUUUCUUUUUCUUUGUUUUUAUGUGGUUGUUUGCUUGUGUAAACUUAUAUUAAAAAUGUGUCUUUUGAUUAUUAUUUGCAUCAUUUAUGCAGUGCACUUAUCUCCCCCAAUGUAGUGCGCUGGACUGUGGCCGUGCAGUUCGGCAGCCGCACGCCCGAGUGUCAUUUAAAUUGUUAAAUUUGUUGAGAAAAAACAAAUGCAGUUCGUCAACCCCACACAUGCAGUGCAUUGUGUUUUGUUUGAAAAAAUUUGAGGGAGUACUUGUCGAACAUGUUGCAAAAAUACGUUUGGAAAAGUUUCUGUUUCAUAAAAGAAACCAUGCAGCUCGCUUCCCCGUUCAAUGCAGUGCGGUUUUCAUUCUGAAGCAGUUCGGUCGGACGUGUGAUGUUGUUCAUCCCAUAAGUGCAAAAAAUUGUUACGGAAACAAAAAAAAGUAAUGUGGUUCACUUCUUGAUAA
This is a long non-coding RNA of Triticum aestivum (bread wheat), 1535 nucleotides long. RefSeq lists it as uncharacterized. Lineage: Eukaryota; Viridiplantae; Streptophyta; Magnoliopsida; Poales; Poaceae. The record is from RefSeq and is a predicted model, not a curated record. The transcript is spliced from 2 exons.